This 212-nucleotide long non-coding RNA is filed under the name Elaeis guineensis (African oil palm). Its description in RNAcentral is "long non-coding RNA (EGUI_LNC033122)". Lineage: Eukaryota; Viridiplantae; Streptophyta; Magnoliopsida; Arecales; Arecaceae. The record is from RNAcentral.
CCCAAUCUUCAUCUGGAGCUUUGACAAUAGAUGCAGAUGCUGCCCCGAUCUCUGUUGCACCAUCAGUGGCCAAAAAUCAAUAUCGAUAAUUUACCGAAGUGGCUAGCCACCUUCAAAGGAGGUGUUUGUGCGCUCGAGACAAACUUCUUCAUCAGCACCUACUCCAAUAUCAGCAAAGUCAACUCAAUCGAUAAAACAACAUCCGAGGUCCC